RNAcentral lists this ribosomal RNA (406 nucleotides) under uncultured bacterium. RNAcentral describes it as "bacterial SSU rRNA". It matches the Rfam family "Bacterial small subunit ribosomal RNA", at positions 976 to 1380 of the family's 1533-position model. The record is from RNAcentral.
CGGGUUCAAAUGCAGUCUGCAUAGGGCAGAGAUGUCCUUUUCCAGCAAUGGACUGGCUGCAAGGUGCUGCAUGGUUGUCGUCAGCUCGUGCCGUGAGGUGUCGGGUCAAGUCCCAUAACGAGCGCAACCCUUGCCUUCUGUUGCCAGCGGGUAAAGCCGGGGACUCAGGGGGGACUGCCGCCGUAAGGCGAGAGGAAGGGGGGGAUGACGUCAAAUCAGCACGGCCCUUACAUCCGGGGCGACACACGUGUUACAAUGGUCGGUACAGAGGGAAGCCAGGCGGCGACGCCGAGCGGAUCUUUAAAGCCGGCCGUAGUUCGGAUCGGAGUCUGCAACUCGACUCCGUGAAGCUGGAUUCGCUAGUAAUCGCAUAUCAGCCAUGAUGCGGUGAAUACGUUCCCGGGCC